Carassius auratus (goldfish) is the source of this 5297-nucleotide long non-coding RNA. RefSeq lists it as uncharacterized. The record is from RefSeq and is a predicted model, not a curated record. The transcript has 4 exons. Lineage: Eukaryota; Metazoa; Chordata; Actinopteri; Cypriniformes; Cyprinidae.
AAAACACAUAACAAACAAACAAGGGGUUGUGACAACUGAUUAACUCAGGAACACUGAUAACAUCAAGGGCAAUUUCUAGGAUGCCAACGGCCACAACAUCUAAUACUGAUUUAAAAUGAACUAACAGAAAUGAAAGGUUCACAAAAAAAGCUGCCAAUCACAGAAUGACCCAGCUUUAUGCAACUGAUCGCUUUCAUGGUGUUAAACAUGUGCCUUAUUCAGGAUCAGCCUUCACCCCUGCUGCAGAGAGAGUUCAAAUUAAUCUGGAUAGAAUCGGUUUCAUACAGAUUUCAUUCAAGAAGCUGCUUUUCAGACCCUCCGUUAACCCCUCCCUCGGUCAGACAACACACACACACACAAAUUCUCCCCAUCUUCUUCCCCACUUAAUCACAUGGCUCUACCACACCCACAUGCUUCCGGAAAUUUCCACCAGUCUUUCAAAGCGCAUUUAGCCAGCAGAUGGCCAACUUUUAGGGGCGGGGGAUGGUCACACAACCCUAAAAAAUUACUUUGUCAGGAAUUUGGAUGGAUUUAUCACAUUCCCACAAUAAUGUGGCCACAGCUGUUGGGGAUGGAAAAAUGCAGAAGCGAAAAACAAAUGAGCUCCAGUGUGUGGAAUCCUCAUGUUUUACAUGAAAACCUACUAGUAUUUUUCCACUCACAUCUUUUUAUGCACUUUCAGCCUCAGUCGACAAAAAUGCUCCAAGUAGGGGUCUUUGGAUAAUCUGCUCAUCCUCUCUUGCUCUAUCCUUCUCAGGGGUUGAUUACUGAAAACAGCAAUCGGAAAACUCUAGGCCUUAAAUUUACAUCAUCAUUGGGAUGCUUCCUUUUGAAGAUAAAUGGCAUUGGAGAAACACUUUCAAGCACUAGGAAAAGCAAAAAGACCAAGAAACCACUGAAUUGUGCUUUUUAUGUGAGCUCUAACUAAUGCCCUUCCUUUUUCAACUAAAUUUAUUCCACUAAAUAUCACAUCUAAGGUUAAUCCAAACACUUUCCUGCUUCAAAAAAGCUUUAAAGAAGGAUCUUUAAAAAAGAUAAAGUUAUAAAAUAAUUUCUUUAAAAAAAAAAAAACUUGCAUGUAUUAUGUGUUUUUAUUUAAUAAAUCUGAAACUCUCUUGAAAAUAAGUUUAAUUAUUAUUAUCCUUUCAUAAAUUUAAAGUUUGAGUCAUACCUCAUUUUAAAACCUGAAUUAACUUUUUCUUGUCAUUAAAAUUAAACAUUAUUCACAUCAUUUAAAAUUGUAUUAUAUGUGUUGACCUUGACUCAUUUAAGACGAUAUCAGCGUCAUGUCAUUGACUCUGAAAACGUGAAACUUUCCACUCAUUGAUGAUUCUGAACUGUCUAGUUUCACACUAGUGACCUUAAUCUGAGAGUGGUUGGUCCACUUGGAGUGGAACCAGGGACUGAUACUUUAAACCAGGCCAUUUACAGGAAGGACAACAGACAAAGCCUAUGGUGACACUGCAGCUUCAGAUAGACUCACAAAUCUGUCCAUUGUGUAGCGACAGCCACAGCAUCCACACAAAAUUAUUGACAGAGCCGAGGGUGAAAAGACAAAAAGAUGAGCAGAUACUGAAAUGCGUUGUGGCAGAAAAACUCUCUGAAAGACGGUUUUGUGCAUUUAAUCUUUUUUGCCCCCUCUGGCAUGCAGUGAACAGCAUGCGCAGUCGAUAAGCGUGGGACUGACAGUGGGGCAAGAGAGAAAGAGGAAUGGGUUAAAACACACAACAGUUGUUCUAUUGACUCUGCAAAAGUACUCAACAGAUAACCCAGACUGAGCAACAACUUAAUGUAUCGCUUAAGGCCAUACAAAAAAGAAAGCUAAGGCUAAAGAGGACAAUGUGUUUGUUGCAUGCAUUUGUAGAUAGUUCAACCUGCUCUUAGUUCACUCCAGGACGACAAGCAGUAUUUGCAAUUAUAUUGGUCUUCAUCGUGACUUGCAAGAAAUGGGUUUUAUGCUUUCUCUCUGGGAUCUCCGCCAGCUCUGAGAAAAAGGUGAACUACAUUAGUCAGCGUCAGAAACACACAGGCUUGCAAACAUUUCGAUUUAUAUUUGCCCAAUUUUUCUAUGCAAAGCGAUUCACACCAAAUUUUCCCAGGAAAUAAGACCUUGUGAACGUUUAUGCCAUGUUUUACAGAUAAUAAUUAUUUCAAUUAAAUGUCCCUGGAUGUCUAGAAUAACUAAUAAACAUCUAUGGAGUUGCUAAAUACCCCAAUGUACCUUUGAGCUCGUGAAUUUGCAUAAAAUGUGUAGAAACUUGGGAAGUGGGUGUUCAACUAAAGAAACAAUAUAAUGGCAAAAUUGUUGUGCAAGAUCAUAAGAGGCUGUGGAAGGAAAUGUAUAUAAUAAAAUCAUAUUCAGAUGUGACUAAAGUCUUAGCUGCGUUUCCAGGGUUUACGUAACACCUGGCAAAACCAGUGAUUUAUUCUCUUUCGGCCUAAACUAAAACACACUGCUACUCUUUCCAUAACCCCAUAGGCAGCAGCAGAUCUUAUGUAAUGUAAAUUCCUAAUGAAUAGAUGGAAAUAAUCUAUACUGACUGCUCCAUCAUAAUAAUUACAGUUCAGUACUUUUUAAUAUAAUUAAUUUUUUGAACUGCUCUGUGAAUUAAUAGAUUACAUCAUGCGAGCAAAGGGCAACAAAGCUGCUAUUUUUAUCUCGGCAUUUUAUCUCUGCACCACUCUAAUGAAAUGAUAACCUUUAUGGAAAAAGGUUAAUGGGAAGAACACAAUUUAAGCAUUGAGCUAACAGAGGCACCAGCUGACCUCAUGCAUGAGAACAGGCUGGAAAACUGAAUAAUCCUUCACCGCGUACAGAAAGAAUGUUUGAAAGGAAAAGAGACAGGAGACAGAAGACAGUGGCCGUCAUAGAAAAAGUAUCAGUGAUUCACAUUAACCACAACAUGCAAUAGAGGAAAUUAGUAAUUCUUAGCGGAAAUAUAAAAUAACAUAUAUACAAAAAAAAAAAAAAAACAGCAUCUUAACUCUUAGGAAACUAUGGAUAAUAAUGCACAAGCAGAGGUAGAAGUUUAAGGAGCACAGGAUUCACUGCAUUCAUUUCCCUUACAAAUGAAGCACUGCGGUGACAAUUAGGUCAUCCAUAGACAGAUGGGGAGAUAUAGAACGGAAAUGGAUUUGUGUGAAGUGAAACUGCUGCUUCCUUUGAUUUACAAAUGGGAUUAUAAAACAUGAUUACAAAUUGUAUUAUAUACUGUGGGAAUGUGAACACAAUGUUAGGUUCUGGAAAUGACUGCAAGCAUUUUCAGGUGUGAAGUGAGAACAUAGAAAGAAAACGAGGGGGGAACCAUAACCAGACAUGAAAUUCCCCAGCAUUUGUCAUUUCCAUAUUCUGCAUAUAAAAAAAAAAAUGUAAAAAAAAAAAAAAUCUCCUUUCAUGUUUCACAGAAGUCAUACAGGAAGAUGGAAAAAGCAGAUUUUUGACAAAUAACAUGUUUUUGUUUUUCAAAUAAAAGAGUGAUUUCAGUGUAAUUUGUUGCAGGCUCAUUUAUUGGUAAUAAAUAAUCAAUAAUACAGACUGAUGAUGCAGAUAAAUAAUCAAAUAAUAUUGUGCUUGUUUCUGAAGCGAUGGUUGCUUUUCUGUCUCGCGAGAGUUGGCAACAGUGCUUGCAUCAUACAGAGCCGGGACCCUUUUUUGAACGUCUCGUCCAAGUCUACGGUAAAAUCCAAAUAUAGGUCACUAGGACUUGGUCGUUAUUUUUCCAUCUUCCUGACAAAAGAUCAACGAGGAGGUAAAAUUUAUGUUCUGCGUCAAAAUAUACGAGCACUGGUCUCUAUGAACCACACCACUCUUUUUAACCUAGAUAAACUGAAACUGUCCCAUCCUGGUUUUCAUUUCUGAUAUUUCAUUUACGUCUUGAUCGACAUUUACGAUUACUUUAAAGAUGAAGAACGUUUUUUUUUUUUUUUAUUGAAAAUCGUUUACCUUGUAACGUUAAGCAGACAAUAAUCAGGACAAUAGCAUAAUCACAAUUUACAGGGAAAACAGAAAUUUGAACGUGUAUGGAGCCCAUUUUAUAAUUAAACGGGAAAAAACGACAUGAUAUAUAGUCUGGGGAAAGUUAACGUUAAAUUAACUGCCUGACGAAUUAAUAUUUAAUGUGCAAUAUUUCAGCACCUACAAUUCUGUUAGAUUACGUUAAAUGCCACAUUGUGAAAAUACAAUCGCUGUACGUUAAAUAAAAAAAAAACGUUUACCUUUGUAUAUUUUUAUUUAUUUUUAUUUCGUAAUAAUACUAAUAAUUAUUUCUUUAUUUUUAUUAUCAGUGCUUCGUACUGAUAAUAAAAAAGUGCUUUGUACGUUAUUUUCAUAUGUGUGAAACAAAUGUACAAUGUACAAAUAGAAAAAUCCAAAUAAAUUAAAUACUUAAAAAAAACGGUUUCCUGCGAGCUGCAAACGUUAAACUCACGCGGGUGGAUUCUUUCUCUGAAUAGAGCAACGCCUGCGGUUUUCAAGACACGCGCAGAGCAGAUUACAACGCACCAUAUGGCAGUCGCGGUACCAUAAUCUUUAGCAUCAACCAGCACAGACAGCCUGCUAGAGCUGGGCCCUGAUUCAAACCAGCCACCAGCAGAUGAGUGGGCAUAUCCAACAUAAACCUUGUGCCAACACUCCUGUGUCAACAUGGAAAAAAAGGACAGUCUGAGAGAGUUAAUCAAUCAGUUCCAAGUAAUUGAAUACUUAAAGGAGAGCGCAGUAAUUGUUGUCCCAGUAGUUUUCAACUGGACCCUGCUAGGCCAUAUUGUUCAGGCACUUACUACUGUUCCUGUCCCAGAGGACUAACUAUCUCAGCUGAUGGUAGAACAUGCCAGGGUACGACAGUUUAAAAAAAGUUUAGCUUUGAAUGGUAAUGUAUGAUACUGAUAUUUCUGAAAUCUCAACUGAGCAACUGCUUUCAUGUAUGUUUACCCUAGAUAUUGAUGAGUGUUCACUGUGCGGUCACAUGUGUCAUGAUGGACAAGAGCAACCUCUAAGAAUGGUGCAGUUUUUUGAUUAUGUGUGACUGAGACAUAUUGGUCUUUGUGUUGGAGUGUGAAUGUGUGCGUGCAGAUCCACCACUUGAAGAUAUUUCCACAGGUCAUGUUGACAUGUAAAAGGCAUUUAAGGCUGGAAGAGCUGAGUUGCGGAGUCCUGCAGACAGACAACGCUGCUCUCUGAGGUUCAGACUUCUGUCAGACUUCAGGCGGGUUAGUGGUUUGGCUGCAAGAAUCCUUCAUCAGAAUGUACAGCAGGACUAUGGGUGGUUUAAAAGAAUACAUUUGCAUAUAUGUCUACCUAU